UACAGAGGGUGCGAGCGUUAAUCGGAAUUACUGGGCGUAAAGCGUGCGCAGGCGGUUUGGCAAGGAGGAUGUGAAAUCCCAGGGCUCAACCUUGGAACUGCAUUUUUAACUCGCGAACUAGAGUGUGUCAGAGGGAGGUGGAAUUCCACGUGUAGCAGUGAAAUGCGUAGAUAUGUGGAGGAACACCGAUGGCGAAGGCAGCCUCCUGGGAUAACACUGACGCUCAUGCACGAAAGCGUGGGGAGCAAACAGG
RNAcentral lists this ribosomal RNA (253 nucleotides) under uncultured bacterium. Its description in RNAcentral is "partial 16S ribosomal RNA". It matches the Rfam family "Bacterial small subunit ribosomal RNA", at positions 524 to 776 of the family's 1533-position model. The record is from RNAcentral.